Molecule: ribosomal RNA, 274 nt
Filed under: uncultured bacterium
Lineage: Bacteria
Description: partial 16S ribosomal RNA
Rfam family: Bacterial small subunit ribosomal RNA
Source: RNAcentral
AUACGGAGGGUGCAAGCGUUAUUCGGAAUCGCUGGGCGUAAAGGACGCGUAGGCGGGUUGGCAAGUCAGAUGUGAAAUCCUACAGCUUAACUGUAGAACUGCAUUUGAAACUGCUAACCUAGAGUAUGGGAGGGGGAGAUGGAAUUAGUGGUGUAGGGGUAAAAUCCGUAGAUAUCACUAGGAAUACCGAAAGCGAAGGCGAUCUCCUGGAACAUAACUGACGCUAAGGCGUGAAAGCGUGGGGAGCAAACAGGAUUAGAUACCCUAGUAGUCC